RNAcentral lists this ribosomal RNA (482 nucleotides) under uncultured bacterium. RNAcentral's name for it is "partial 16S ribosomal RNA". It matches the Rfam family "Bacterial small subunit ribosomal RNA", at positions 30 to 505 of the family's 1533-position model. The record is from RNAcentral.
AUUGAACGCUGGCGGCAGGCCUAACACAUGCAAGUCGAGCGGAUGAAGGGAGCUUGCUCCUGGAUUCAGCGGCGGACGGGUGAGUAAUGCCUAGGAAUCUGCCUGGUAGUGGGGGAUAACGUCCGGAAACGGGCGCUAAUACCGCAUACGUCCUGAGGGAGAAAGUGGGGGAUCUUCGGACCUCACGCUAUCAGAUGAGCCUAGGUCGGAUUAGCUAGUUGGUGGGGUAAAGGCCUACCAAGGCGACGAUCCGUAACUGGUCUGAGAGGAUGAUCAGUCACACUGGAACUGAGACACGGUCCAGACUCCGACGGGAGGCAGCAGUGGGGAAUAUGGGACAAUGGGCGAAAGCCUGAUCCAGCCAUGCCGCGUGUGUGAAGAAGGUCUUCGGAUUGUAAAGCACUUUAAGUUGGGAGGAAGGGCAGUAAGUUAAUACCUUGCUGUUUUGACGUUACCAACAGAAUAAGCACCGGCUAACUUCG